Molecule: long non-coding RNA, 3215 nt
Filed under: Setaria italica (foxtail millet)
Lineage: Eukaryota; Viridiplantae; Streptophyta; Magnoliopsida; Poales; Poaceae
Description: long non-coding RNA (SITA_LNC002997)
Source: RNAcentral
GUCCGUCGGAUUUCAUCCGAUAAAUCACUUACUCAGGAUCAAGAAGCAUUGCUUACACGAAGGUGAGUGGCAUAGAAAUUACAACAUUCCCAUCACAUUAACAUAGUUCAACAAUUUAUUACAUCAGAGUUUACGAAAUUCAAGCAGAGUUUGCAAGGUUGUAAACAAUGAAGAAGUAAAUCAAGCGAAAGCUACACGACGAUACAUAAUACUAUGGCAAAGCCGACCAUGACAUCCAUUUCAACGAUCCACGCUGUCUGAGGCUGCUUUCCACUCGACCGACCAACCCGGAGGGAGUUGGGUCGGCCAAGUCAAACUGGCAACCAUUUCCUCGAACUCAGCACUACCUGAAAACAUAGCCACAAGCAAGGCUGAGCAACUAGUACUCAGCAAAACUGACCCGACAGGUGAUAACUACGUCACCGACUUGUUGUGGGUUUAUUUUUGCCAUGCCUAAAGUUGAUCCUUACUUUCAAUAUUUUAGCUCAAGUUCUAAGUUUAUUAACCAGUCUAGAUUAGCAACUUAUACUAAGCAAGCAUAGUUUCCAAACAAUUAAAGGACAAGCAUCAAGAUUAAUAUCAUCAUCAUGUUCCAUCUUUACUCAGUGCGGAAUAGCGAUUAAGCAGUCCCAAACUGUGAGAGGCAGACGAAUCAAUUUGAAUUUAUUAACCAUGCAUGGCGAACCUAAUCCCACGAUAUCUGCGCACCACGAAGGGUCGCUUCACUUGUCAGCCAUCCCCAUCGAUCCCCAGGCACGUGUCAGGGCCAAACUUCCCUUGGCAUGCAAUGCUCCAUAGUCCCAGCCUCUUUGCUGUACUGUGACUGCACUUGCACCCACAUGAUGCACCAUGGGAACAUCGUUCCAAGGACAGCAGAACUAUAAGCCACGCCCCAGUUCAAUCAGGUACUAGGCUUCCCUAUCCCAUACUAGGUAUGAGAUUAGUACUUUCAAACACUUGAUCAUGAACAUCGGCAUGUUUGGACCUUAGCAAGUUCAUUACUAGACAGAUGGGGCAAACCACUGUAUUGGAACCAUUCCCAGUCCCGUCCAUCACCCUUAAAGUGGUAGUUUGAGUAAACAUCAAUUCCUAUAACUCGCGAGUGACAGGCAAUCACUCGACUUUUACCGAGUCCUAUUUAGCACAGCAACUACUCGACUUUCACAACUAGUGUUUAGAUCAAAGGUACUAAGUUCAUGCAUCUAAGGUUUCAAUCAAAUCCUACAAACAUAAAUGCACAAUCAUAAGCACCAACAUAUUGCAUAAUUUAGAACAGGGAAGCAUGCACCGGGGCUUGCCUUUAGGUUCAGAAAAAGUUAGUGGGUCUUCGGGGUCUUGAUCUAGCUCGGGCUCAACUUUCGUAUGAUGUAGCUCUGCGGCGGAUUCCUCUUCCAGUGUAAGGUGGAGCUCGUAGGUUCUGUCGGCGAUAUUAGCUUCUACACGACAUGCAUAUGCAGAAAGUUCAAAUUUUUCAUGCUUUCGUAUGAAGGAUGUAAGAAAUGACUUAUUGCUGAAAUGAAAGUUACAUUUCGACCACAUUCACCUAAAAAAGUCCUAAACUUUCAUUAUCUUCACGAAAUAAGGUGUGUUGUGGUUUAAAACUCAGGGUUGACUUUAAUGGUGAUUGUGUACAUAUAUAAGAUUUCACAACUUAGACUUCACAAGGAAGGUGGGGGUCACUUUUAGGACUAUUCGGGGUUUAUUUGGAAAUUCAUUUAUUUCUGAAUGUUUUUAUGUACCUCUUCCAAAAUUACCAAUUAAGUUUACUAGGACUUAACAUUUCUUUAUUCAUUUAAGCCGAUUCCUCAUCCAAAAUUUGUUUUCACAACUAGAUAGUAACAUAUGACACUGAGAAAUUUACAACACCUUACUUAUGUCAUCAAUGAGUUACUGUAAAAAUUUGGGAUCCAUUGGAUUAGUACAAAAAUAAUUAAAAUUACUUUAUUAACCAAGGGCACCAUGUACUUAACCAUUUUUAUCUCAAAACCUACAGUGAUUCUGAGGGUGAAACUUUAACAGUGGGUUGGAGGCAUGUUGUAGAGACUUUGGUGAAUUUUUCAUGAUUUUUAGUGAAGGACAACUAUUUCCCAUAUAUUAAAUCUAUUUAUCUUGCUCUAAAAAGCAAGGUGGGUUUCAUCAAGUUUCAGUUAAGGUUUCCUAUUUACCUUGUGAACUACACAUCAAAACUAAGCUACUCUAAGUGGUUUCAUAUUUUUCUUAGCACUGGAUUAAAACUUAUGCAAAAAGAAAGAUUUAACCUUAGAUUUAAAAGGUAAGGUUACAACCGUGAUUUAAAGUUCUAACAGUAACAUGGGUAAGAUUAUUUUUAUAUGAAACUAGACAGUUCACUCAGCCCAAUAAAAUUUAUUUGGCAUUUUUCUAAUUUUUCUACAAUUUAUGGUGUAUUUACAAAUUUUAAUCUAUUUUCUACCGAUUUAAAACAAUUAACCGAACUAGAUUUACAACCAGGCCCUCCGAAACUUUCUAAAAUCACAACCAUGCCCUAGGUUUUUAUGUCUAAGCCCCUAAUCGAGUUUUCCAAUCACAAACAUAUGCCUGGGCGGCGCUUGGAGGCCGAUUCCGGCGAUACGCCGGCGGGGGCUGGGCGACGAGCGGAUGGGGAUGCGUACGGGCUCACCUUGUCUCGGUUUGAGGCAGUUGUGGGCGGCGGGGAAGUUGGAGGCGUUCCAGCGGCGGGGUUCCUCCGGGCGAGCAACCGGCGGCGGCUGGGGCUCCGGGGGAAUGCGGCGGUGUGGGAACGGGCGGCGGUGAGGAGGUUUGUCGGGCAGAGGUGGGCUCUCCGCGGAGGACCUGCUUGGUGGUGCGUGGGCGUGGAACAGAGGAGCAGGGCGGCGACAAUGGCGUGAGGGGAGAGGGGCACAGGCAGGCGUGAGCGAGGCUUUUAUAGGCGCCGAGGCGCGUGGCUGACUGGUGGGCCUGGAGGGAGCGGUGGGCCACGGGUGGAGCAGCGAUUGGCGGUGGCGCCAUUGGCGAUGGGAGCAGGAGCUCUGGGACACGAUCUCGUCGUGACUGGCUCGCAAAGAUCGCUGGCGUGCGGAGCUAUUUUGCCGGGCAAGGCAAUUGGCGCGGCUCGGAUAGCGUCUAGUCGCUGUCCUAGCGCUGGUAGGCGGGCAGAGCUCGGCCAGUCCUCGGCCAUGGCGUGUUGCCAGGGUUGCGGAGGAGCGGGCACGGGUUGGGCAACGGGGAUAGCGGCG